GCCUGGUGCAGUGGCACGUGCCUGUAGUCCCAGCUACUCAGGAGGCUAAGGUGGGAGGAUUGCUUGAGCCCAGGAGUUCUGUACUUCAGUGCACUAUGCUGAUCAGGUGUCCGCACUAAGUUCAGCAUUAAUACGAUGACCUCCCGGGAGUGGAGGACCACCAGGUUGCCUAAGGAGGGGUGAACCAGCCCAGGUCGGAAACAGAGCAAGUCAAAACUCUUGUGCUGAUCAGUAGUGGGAUUGUGCCUCUGAAUAGCCACUGCACUCCAGCCUGGGCAACAUAGCAAGACACCGUCUCU
Molecule: signal recognition particle RNA, 299 nt
Filed under: Aotus nancymaae (Ma's night monkey)
Lineage: Eukaryota; Metazoa; Chordata; Mammalia; Primates; Aotidae
Description: Metazoan signal recognition particle RNA (ENSANAG00000011561.1)
Rfam family: Metazoan signal recognition particle RNA
About the family: The signal recognition particle (SRP) is a universally conserved ribonucleoprotein. It is involved in the co-translational targeting of proteins to membranes. The eukaryotic SRP consists of a 300-nucleotide 7S RNA and six proteins: SRPs 72, 68, 54, 19, 14, and 9.
Source: RNAcentral